This 424-nucleotide ribosomal RNA is filed under the name uncultured prokaryote. RNAcentral describes it as "bacterial SSU rRNA". It matches the Rfam family "Bacterial small subunit ribosomal RNA", at positions 355 to 796 of the family's 1533-position model. The record is from RNAcentral.
UGGGGAAUAUUGGACAAUGGGCGCAAGCCUGAUCCAGCCAUGCCGCGUGAGUGACGAAGGCCCUAGGGUUGUAAAGCUCUUUCAGUGGUGACGAUGAUGACGGUAGCCACAGAAGAAGCCCCGGCUAACUCCGUGCCAGCAGCCGCGGUAAUACGGAGGGGGUUAGCGUUGUUCGGAAUUACUGGGCGUAAAGCGCGCGUAGGCGGAUUGGAAAGUUGGGGGUGAAAUCCCGGGGCUCAACCCCGGAACUGCCUCCAAAACUAUCAGUCUAGAGUUCGAGAGAGGUGAGUGGAAUUCCAAGUGUAGAGGUGAAAUUCGUAGAUAUUUGGAGGAACACCAGUGGCGAAGGCGGCUCACUGGCUCGAUACUGACGCUGAGGUGCGAAAGUGUGGGGAGCAAACAGGAUUAGAUACCCCUGUAGUCC